UACGAAGGGGGCUAGCGUUGUUCGGAAUUACUGGGCGUAAAGAGCGCGCAGGCGGUCGUUCAAGUCGAGUGUGAAAGCCCCCGGCUCAACUGGGGAGGGUCACUCGAUACUGAUCGACUCGAAGGCAGGAGAGGGAAGUGGAAUUCCCGGUGUAGUGGUGAAAUGCGUAGAUAUCAGGAGGAACACCGGUGGCGAAGGCGGUUCUCUGGGCAUUACCUGACGCUGAGGAGCGAAAGUGUGGGGAGCGAACAGG
This 253-nucleotide ribosomal RNA is filed under the name uncultured bacterium. RNAcentral's name for it is "partial 16S ribosomal RNA". It matches the Rfam family "Bacterial small subunit ribosomal RNA", at positions 524 to 776 of the family's 1533-position model. The record is from RNAcentral.